AGAAUCAACGCUGGCGGCGUGCCUAACACAUGCAAGUCGAACGAGAAAGGGACUUCGGUCCUGAGUACAGUGGCGCACGGGUGAGUAACACGUGACUAACCUACCCUGGAGUGGGGAAUAACUGAGGGAAACCUUAGCUAAUACCGCAUAAUACCUACGGGUCAAAGGAGCAAUUCGCUUCAGGAGGGGGUCGCGGCCGAUUAGCUAGUUGGCGGGGUAAUGGCCCACCAAGGCAAUGAUCGGUAUCCGGCCUGAGAGGGCGCACGGACACACUGGAACUGAAACACGGUCCAGACUCCUACGGGAGGCAGCAGUGGGGAAUUUGCGCAAUGGGGGAAACCCUGACGCAGCAACGCCGCGUGGAGGAUGAAAUCCCUUGGGAUGUAAACUCCUUUCGAUCGGGACGAUUAUGACGGUACCGGAGAAGAGCCCGGCUAACUUCGCGCAGCAGCCGC
This 455-nucleotide ribosomal RNA is filed under the name uncultured bacterium. RNAcentral describes it as "SSU rRNA". It matches the Rfam family "Bacterial small subunit ribosomal RNA", at positions 26 to 518 of the family's 1533-position model. The record is from RNAcentral.